This 48-nucleotide ribosomal RNA is filed under the name Russula sp. J047. RNAcentral describes it as "partial 28S ribosomal RNA". Lineage: Eukaryota; Fungi; Basidiomycota; Agaricomycetes; Russulales; Russulaceae. The record is from RNAcentral. RNAcentral also lists the same sequence under 5 other names.
UGACCUCAAAUCGGGUGAGACUACCCGCUGAACUUAAGCAUAUCAAUA